GAAGUGCGAACCAAGCCGGCGCGAAAACGCCGUAAGACUUGGAGCGGAUAGUCGUAAGGCUAUCUUGCA
RNAcentral lists this non-coding RNA (69 nucleotides) under unclassified sequences. RNAcentral's name for it is "Transposase-2 RNA". It matches the Rfam family "Transposase-2 RNA". The record is from Rfam by way of RNAcentral.